RNAcentral lists this unclassified non-coding RNA (378 nucleotides) under plant metagenome. RNAcentral describes it as "partial contains 5.8S ribosomal RNA, internal transcribed spacer 2, and large subunit ribosomal RNA". The stretch from base 1 to 105 matches the Rfam family "5.8S ribosomal RNA", at positions 50 to 154 of the family's 154-position model. The record is from RNAcentral.
GAAAUGCGAUAAGUAAUGUGAAUUGCAGAAUUCAGUGAAUCAUCGAAUCUUUGAACGCACCUUGCGCUCCUUGGUAUUCCUUGGAGCAUGUCUGUUUGAGUAUCAUGAAAUCUUCAAAGUAAAUCUUUUGUUAACUCAAUUGGCUUCUACUUUGGUAUUGGAGGUCUUUGCAGCUUCACACCUGCUCCUCUUUGUUCAUUAGCUGGAUCUCAGUGUUAUGCUUGGUUCCACUCGGCGUGAUAAGUUAUCUAUCGCUGAGGACACUGUAAAAGGUGGCCAAGGUAAAUGCAGAUGAACCGCUUCUAAUAGUCCAUUGACUUGGACAAUACUUUUAUGAUCUGAUCUCAAAUCAGGUAGGACUACCCGCUGAACUUAAGC